Microtus oregoni (creeping vole) is the source of this 107-nucleotide small nuclear RNA. The record is from RefSeq and is a predicted model, not a curated record. NCBI's taxonomy places the organism in Eukaryota, Metazoa, Chordata, Mammalia, Rodentia, Cricetidae.
GUGCUAACUUCAGUAGCACAUAUACUAAAAUUGGAAGAAUAUAGAGUAGAUUGACAUGGCCCCUGUGCAAGGAUUACACACAAAUUCAUGAAGUAUUUUGAUCUAAA